Sardina pilchardus (European sardine) is the source of this 415-nucleotide long non-coding RNA. RefSeq lists it as uncharacterized. Lineage: Eukaryota; Metazoa; Chordata; Actinopteri; Clupeiformes; Clupeidae. The record is from RefSeq and is a predicted model, not a curated record. The transcript is spliced from 3 exons.
GACUGACUAGAUAAGCUAUAACUCUUUGUUCAUCUCCUUUCACAGACUCUUUGACUUCAAACAGGAGCUAUUCUUCACUGGAUUGUUGGUCAUUCUGACAGCAUGCUGUGCUGUGCUGCUGUUCUACCUUAUAAGAAGACUGAAGGCUAAUAAUCCCUCUGAAGUAGAGAGCCACUACGUAGAUGUAAAUUAUAAUGCAACAAAAAUCCAGGCAAAGGUGAGACAUGAAGGCACUCUUUACUCAGAGGUUACAUACAUGGCUGGCAUCCAGGAAGAGUCUGGCUAGUUUUGAUUUGUUGACGUUUGUUUGCAGAGUGUAAAAAUGUAUAUGACAGAAUGUUGUAAGUCUUUACUGCCUACAUUUCCCUUUUGUGUAUCUUCAGUCAUUUAAUUGUUUUGCCAUGCCUACAUUUUG